UUCAUAAUAUUUCAUCCUGUUUUGAGAAAUACUUUAUAGUUUUCAACGGAAAAUUAUUUCUUAGAUUCUAAAUCAAUUUUUGAAUUAAACAAACUUAUUUGUAUUUUAUAUUUACUGUCUCGUUUAUUCAAAACACGUGAGGUAGUAAUAACGGGGAUCGUAUUUUAUGAUAGGUUAAAUGGAUGUAAAACGUUUUAGAAUCAAAAACUUUAAUUCAUAUAUUAUACCUAUAAUUUUAAUUUUCUUAUAUUUUAAAUAUUUGAAGAAAUAAUGAAUCCACAAACAAGUUGGAAUAAUUUGUAUACGCUCGUCUUAGUCGGGACACAUAAUGGUAUAAAGAAGUCCGUCCGUGCUAAUGUCUGUCCGUCUGUCAAUAGUAGCGAAAGUGUGCGCUAGGGCGAAGUUCUGAAAUUGACGCGACAAAAAAAACCAACACAUCUAGUCUAAUAUAGUCAAAUAGUCUGUAAGUAAUCAUCUUUCAUUUCUCUUUUUAUUUUCAAUGAUUUUGCUAAUGAGAUGGAGAGGACAAAAACAGACUUUCCUUUCUAAAGCGUCGAACAAUUUUUCAAUCCGACGGAUGGUGUUUCUGGAGGUUAAUUUUGUGCGGCAACAACAUCAUGAGAUCUGAUACUGAUACAUACAUGUGAUCUCUUGUAUUACCGGAUAAUAAAGUUUGAUAUAAUGGUAUUUUUUGAGAGUUUGAAUAACAAGCAAAUAUCAUAUGGUUACAUCUUCUGACAUCAGACUCGGACUUCUCUUGAACUGAAUUUCAAUAUAUGUCGGCACUGAAAAUAAUUGGUCGUAAUUACUUUUCCUGAACUUAAAAAUGAAUGGUACGAUAGAAGGACAUUGGAGUUUGUAAAGGAACACACUGCAUGUCAAAAAGACCGCGACGGAGCCCAAUUAUGGAGUGAUCUCGUAUUUCCAACUUUCAUCAACAGAAUGUAACGAUGUCUUUCAAUAAUUUUUAUGAAACAUUUCAAGGAUUUAAAAAAGAUAAAGAGCAUGCAAGAAUGAGAACAACAUAACAUCUCCAAUACACACAAGUGACUCACAGUCGGACAAGCGGGUGAAUGUUACAAGGAAUAUGAUGUUAAUAAUACCAUACUGCAGACGUAUUCGGGACAAUGGUAUCAAUAGACCAAAGCAGAAUAUAUGUCAACUUGUGGUUAAAAUAGUUCAAAAAUAAACCCAAAAUGAUUUAACUGGAAAAUAUGAAAGAUAAUGCAAAGCAAAAAACAUCUACCGUAUUCAAAUAAAAAGGCGAUUUGGUAUUAGACGCAAAUAUGUGAGCAUACAGCAAUCAAGAUGCAUAAAUUACAGACGUAUACAUGAGUGGUAUGGUUUAAUCCAUAAGAAGGAUUUAUCAAAUAUAAGUGUUUGAGUAAAAUUGAGAAUGGAAAUAAGGAAUAUGUCAAAGAGACAACAAUGUAUUAUGAGAUGCAAUAUACAUUGCAUUGUUUUCAAGGGUACAAGCGGGAAAUUCUAAUUGAGAAUAAUUAAUGCCCAUGCUCCUUACAGUGGACAAUACGUCAGAAUGCGCAUGCAUAAAACAAAAUGUUUGUGAUGCCGAGAUGCAAUUGAAUUACACCAUCCAAAAUAUAUUGCAGCUGAUAUAAUAUAUUUUGUUGAAUCUGUUAUUGACAGGGAAUUAUUAAACGCAAUGUUUUGAAUGUGGUAAUGAAGUUCGCAAAUAGUCAAUGAAUACUGUUUUUUCUUCACGUCCUAUCAAAAUUUG
Long non-coding RNA from Mytilus californianus (California mussel), 1738 nucleotides. RefSeq lists it as uncharacterized. The record is from RefSeq and is a predicted model, not a curated record. NCBI's taxonomy places the organism in Eukaryota, Metazoa, Mollusca, Bivalvia, Mytilida, Mytilidae. The transcript has 3 exons.